RNAcentral lists this long non-coding RNA (314 nucleotides) under Homo sapiens (human). RNAcentral's name for it is "HSALNT0169476". Lineage: Eukaryota; Metazoa; Chordata; Mammalia; Primates; Hominidae. The record is from RNAcentral.
GCGCAGGCGGAAGUGCUUCCCGUGCGCGUGCGCCAGGUGGCCCCAGAAGGCCUUGCGCAGGGCGUCGAAGGUGGAGCGGAAGCGCUUGGAGUAGAGCACGAAUUUGUUGGGGAUGACUGAAAACAUCUGCAAGGAAACAGAGGAGGAGAGACACAGAGGAGGGGAAAAUGAGCAAAGACACAAUCUAACCGCAAUGGGAACCUGCCCUGAGACUGACGACCGUGUUCAAAUUUGAACUAAUAUUUGACAAUGAUUAACAAAUAAAGCAAAACUUGGUAGACGGUCAAUGACUGUGCUUUCCUCUCCCCCGCCGC